RNAcentral lists this ribosomal RNA (119 nucleotides) under Triticum dicoccoides. The record is from RNAcentral. Lineage: Eukaryota; Viridiplantae; Streptophyta; Magnoliopsida; Poales; Poaceae.
UGAUGCGAUCAUACCAGCACUAAAGCACCGGAUCCCAUCAGAACUCCGAAGUUAAGCGUGCUUGGGCGAGAGUAGUACUAGGAUAGGUGACCUCCUGGGAAGUCCUCGUGUUGUAUUCC